This 439-nucleotide ribosomal RNA is filed under the name uncultured Thauera sp. RNAcentral describes it as "bacterial SSU rRNA". It matches the Rfam family "Bacterial small subunit ribosomal RNA", at positions 338 to 769 of the family's 1533-position model. The record is from RNAcentral. Lineage: Bacteria; Pseudomonadati; Pseudomonadota; Betaproteobacteria; Rhodocyclales; Zoogloeaceae.
CCUACGGGAGGCAGCAGUGGGGAAUUUUGGACAAUGGGGGCAACCCUGAUCCAGCCAUGCCGCGUGAGUGAAGAAGGCCUUCGGGUUGUAAAGCUCUUUCGGCCGGGAAGAAAUCGUGUUCUCUAACAUAGGACAUGGAUGACGGUACCGGACUAAGAAGCACCGGCUAACUACGUGCCAGCAGCCGCGGUAAUACGUAGGGUGCGAGCGUUAAUCGGAAUUACUGGGCGUAAAGCGUGCGCAGGCGGUUUUGUAAGACAGAUGUGAAAUCCCCGGGCUUAACCUGGGAACUGCGUUUGUGACUGCAAGGCUAGAGUACGGCAGAGGGGGGUGGAAUUCCUGGUGUAGCAGUGAAAUGCGUAGAUAUCAGGAGGAACACCGAUGGCGAAGGCAGCCCCCUGGGCCUGUACUGACGCUCAUGCACGAAAGCGUGGGGAGC